RNAcentral lists this ribosomal RNA (242 nucleotides) under uncultured bacterium. Its description in RNAcentral is "partial 16S ribosomal RNA". It matches the Rfam family "Bacterial small subunit ribosomal RNA", at positions 111 to 334 of the family's 1533-position model. The record is from RNAcentral.
UAACACGUAAACAACCUGCCUUCAGGAUGGGGACAACAGACGGAAACGACGUGCUAAUACCGAAUAAGUUCCAAGGGCCGCAUGGCCCAUGGAAGAAAAAGGUGGCCUCUACCUGUAAGACUAUCGCCUGAAGAGGGUUUGCGUCUGAUUAGCUGGUUGGAGGGGUAACGGCCCACCAAGGCGACGAUCAGUAGCCGGUCUGAGAGGAUGAACGGCCACACUGGAACUGAGACACGGUCCAG